UGUAAGCGUAUACCAAAGUUGUUGCAGUUAAAACGCUCGUAGUCGGAAUUUGGCAGUUCCGGAUGUGUGCACGUCGUGUGCGCACUUCGCGGGGAUUGCUUUUGUGGUCUUGCGUAGGAUGAGGCACUUUUAUUAGUGAACGUCCUCACGCAACCACUUUUUACUGUGAGAAAAUCAGAGUGCUCAAAGCAGGCAUUUGCCGUGAAUUUAUUAGCAUGGAAUAAUAGAAUAGGACUUGGUUCUAUUUUGUUGGUUUGUUGGGACUGAGUAAUGAUUAAGAGGGACAGUUGGGGGCAUUUGUAUUUCGGUGCUAGAGGUGAAAUUCUUAGAUUACCGAAAGACAAACUGCUGCGAAAGCGUCUGCCAAGGAUGUUUUCAUUGA
RNAcentral lists this ribosomal RNA (382 nucleotides) under uncultured eukaryote. Its description in RNAcentral is "partial 18S ribosomal RNA". It matches the Rfam family "Eukaryotic small subunit ribosomal RNA", at positions 592 to 976 of the family's 1831-position model. The record is from RNAcentral.